Molecule: long non-coding RNA, 421 nt
Filed under: Trifolium pratense (red clover)
Lineage: Eukaryota; Viridiplantae; Streptophyta; Magnoliopsida; Fabales; Fabaceae
Description: long non-coding RNA (TPRA_LNC007364)
Source: RNAcentral
GGCCUAUUUUAGGUCGUUUAUAUGGUUUUUGGCCAAUUUUAGUGUUUGUAGUGGUUUUUAAUGUUAUUUGCCUAUUUUAUGUACGUUCUUUUGUUUUUGGCCAAUUUAAGUGUUUUUGGUUUUUAAUGUCAUUCUUUGCUCUUCAUUUUCCUCCACUUCACCCAUUAGGCAUAAGUUCUCAAACUCAUCAAUGUACUCAGUGACACUCAUUUUGCCUUGCACCAAAUCUGAAAUCUUCUUAUACAAAUUCAGUCGGUGGUUUGAUGGUACAUAUCUUUUGCGCAACUUCCUCUUCAAGGACUGCCAAGAGCGGAUUUUCUCAAUCCCAUCUCGUGUUCUUCUAGUCUUCAAUCCCUCAUACCACAACGAUGCACUUUUGCCAAGUUUCAGAAUAGCAUAUUUGCAACGCUUCUCAUCAUCA